GCUCAGAUUGAACGCUGGCGGCAGGCCUAACACAUGCAAGUCGAGCGGUAGCACAGAGAGCUUGCUCUCGGGUGACGAGCGGCGGACGGGUGAGUAAUGUCUGGGAAACUGCCUGAUGGAGGGGGAUAACUACUGGAAACGGUAGCUAAUACCGCAUAACGUCGCAAGACCAAAGUGGGGGACCUUCGGGCCUCAUGCCAUCAGAUGUGCCCAGAUGGGAUUAGCUAGUAGGUGGGGUAACGGCUCACCUAGGCGACGAUCCCUAGCUGGUCUGAGAGGAUGACCAGCCACACUGGAACUGAGACACGGUCCAGACUCCUACGGGAGGCAGCAGUGGGGAAUAUUGCACAAUGGGCGCAAGCCUGAUGCAGCCAUGCCGCGUGUGUGAAGAAGGCCUUCGGGUUGUAAAGCACUUUCAGCGGGGAGGAAGGCGGUAAGGUUAAUAACCUUGUCGAUUGACGUUACCCGCAGAAGAAGCACCGGCUAACUCCGUGCCAGCAGCCGCGGUAAUACGGAGGGUGCAAGCGUUAAUCGGAAUUACUGGGCGUAAAGCGCACGCAGGCGGUCUGUCAAGUCGGAUGUGAAAUCCCCGGGCUCAACCUGGGAACUGCAUUCGAAACUGGCAGGCUAGAGUCUUGUAGAGGGGGGUAGAAUUCCAGGUGUAGCGGUGAAAUGCGUAGAGAUCUGGAGGAAUACCGGUGGCGAAGGCGGCCCCCUGGACAAAGACUGACGCUCAGGUGCGAAAGCGUGGGGAGCAAACAGGAUUAGAUACCCUGGUAGUCCACGCCGUAAACGAUGUCGAUUUGGAGGUUGUGCCCUUGAGGCGUGGCUUCCGGAGCUAACGCGUUAAAUCGACCGCCUGGGGAGUACGGCCGCAAGGUUAAAACUCAAAUGAAUUGACGGGGGCCCGCACAAGCGGUGGAGCAUGUGGUUUAAUUCGAUGCAACGCGAAGAACCUUACCUGGUCUUGACAUCCACAGAACUUUCCAGAGAUGGAUUGGUGCCUUCGGGAACUGUGAGACAGGUGCUGCAUGGCUGUCGUCAGCUCGUGUUGUGAAAUGUUGGGUUAAGUCCCGCAACGAGCGCAACCCUUAUCCUUUGUUGCCAGCGGUUCGGCCGGGAACUCAAAGGAGACUGCCAGUGAUAAACUGGAGGAAGGUGGGGAUGACGUCAAGUCAUCAUGGCCCUUACGACCAGGGCUACACACGUGCUACAAUGGCAUAUACAAAGAGAAGCGACCUCGCGAGAGCAAGCGGACCUCAUAAAGUAUGUCGUAGUCCGGAUUGGAGUCUGCAACUCGACUCCAUGAAGUCGGAAUCGCUAGUAAUCGUAGAUCAGAAUGCUACGGUGAAUACGUUCCCGGGCCUUGUACACACCGCCCGUCACACCAUGGGAGUGGGUUGCAAAAGAAGUAGGUAGCUUAACCUUCGGGAGGGCGCUUACCACUUUGUGAUUCAUGACUGGGGUGAAGUCGUA
This 1476-nucleotide ribosomal RNA is filed under the name Klebsiella pneumoniae. RNAcentral's name for it is "bacterial SSU rRNA". It matches the Rfam family "Bacterial small subunit ribosomal RNA". Lineage: Bacteria; Pseudomonadati; Pseudomonadota; Gammaproteobacteria; Enterobacterales; Enterobacteriaceae. The record is from RNAcentral.